CUCAGACCGUGAUAGAGCCGGCAUGGCUUUCUCACGCGCUUCUGUCUCAUCUUGCGCCCACAGGCCGGAGCCAAAAGCACUCAUGGCAACGAAUGCGGCGACGCCAACCAAAAGCUUCGAUGACACUGAGAACAAUGGUCAUGGCCCUUGUCAAGAGUUUGGUCGAAAUGUCAUAGCGCUCUUCGCGGCCAACAGUUACUGUCAAGAGAAAAGGUUUUUUGAAUCGGCCAAUGAAUCAUCGCGUCCAUGCAUACGCCCGAUAGCUCAAGUACUUUUCAGCAGCUUCUCUUGCACGUCGCGCUUAUCAUUAUAGCCGCGUACCCCUCUUCAGAAUAUCGGCGUCGCAAUCGGUCUCAACAAUCUCUUUACCGCAAUCAAUUUUUUCGUUGUGCUCCCUUCAAUUGUGAUUACACUCAACGCUAGAGAUUGGCGGAGCCGGUAGGCCAGACUCGGUUGCGUUUCGGGAACGGACGCACCACUUUUCGCCUGCGGCUGACCUCGAAUGAUUCGAAUCGCGCCGUUCGGUGCGAAUCUCAUGGAGCGUUCGGCAGACUUGCCGACGCAUUGAGACUUGGGAACAGAGAGCGUGCAACCACGGAGACCGUCGUCCCCGUGGCUAAUUGUUUGUCCUCGAGCUGACUACUUUGGGCCUGUUGUAACGGAGUCAAUAGUCGUGGACCCUCGUCGAUUGCGCACCCCUGUUUUAGUGAUUUAUUACAAUCGCUAUUUGACCAACAGCGACUACGCCAUGUUUAUGAAGCGCGUGGCGCGCCGCUAUUCGAAUCAAACGCUCGAACGCCUCGUCUCGGUCGGCGAUCAUGUGACGCGGCGGGCGGCCGUGCUCUCGCUGAGCCUGAUGAGCGACUACUCGUCGAACGCCGUGCUCGGCCGCGCGCUCGUGGAUCGCGAUCGCGGCGUGCGAACGAUAGCCGAGAGCGGUAUCCGCGAGCUAUGGUGCCGCAUCGGUAGCCGGCAUCAGCAAGAAAUGCUCCG
Molecule: unclassified non-coding RNA, 993 nt
Filed under: uncultured fungus
Lineage: Eukaryota; Fungi
Description: sequence contains 18S rRNA gene, ITS1, 5.8S rRNA gene, ITS2, 28S rRNA gene
Source: RNAcentral